RNAcentral lists this ribosomal RNA (460 nucleotides) under uncultured bacterium. RNAcentral describes it as "partial 16S ribosomal RNA". It matches the Rfam family "Bacterial small subunit ribosomal RNA", at positions 338 to 795 of the family's 1533-position model. The record is from RNAcentral.
CCUACGGGGUGCAGCAGUGAGGAAUAUUGGUCAAUGGACGCAAGUCUGAACCAGCCAUGCCGCGUGCAGGAAGACGGCUCUAUGAGUUGUAAACUGCUUUUGUACGAGGGUAAACGCAGAUACGCGUAUCUGUCUGAAAGUAUCGUACGAAUAAGGAUCGGCUAACUCCGUGCCAGCAGCCGCGGUAAUACGGAGGAUUCAAGCGUUAUCCGGAUUUAUUGGGUUUAAAGGGUGCGUAGGCGGUCGGAUAAGUUAGAGGUGAAAUCCCGAGGCUCAACUUCGGAAUUGCCUCUGAUACUGUUCGGCUUGAGAGUAGUUGCGGUAGGCGGAAUGUAUGGUGUAGCGGUGAAAUGCUUAGAGAUCAUACAGAACACCGAUUGCGAAGGCAGCUUACCAAGCUACUUCUGACGUUGAGGCACGAAAGCGUGGGGAGCAAACAGGAUUAGAUACCCGAGUAGUC